This 465-nucleotide ribosomal RNA is filed under the name Sungouiella pseudoflosculorum. Its description in RNAcentral is "LSU rRNA". It matches the Rfam family "Eukaryotic large subunit ribosomal RNA", at positions 78 to 537 of the family's 3401-position model. Lineage: Eukaryota; Fungi; Ascomycota; Pichiomycetes; Serinales; Metschnikowiaceae. The record is from RNAcentral.
CCUCAGUAACGGCGAGUGAAGCGGCAAAAGCUCAAAUUUGAAAUCCUGCGGGAGUUGUAAUUUGAAGGUGUGACGGUUGACAGUCCCGGCCCCAAAGUCCCUUGGAACAGGGCGCCUUAGAGGGUGAGAGCCCCGUACGAGGCCGUGGCACUGUCUCUACGCUGUCGCUCCGACGAGUCGAGUUGUUUGGGAAUGCAGCUCAAAGUGGGUGGUAAAUUCCAUCUAAAGCUAAAUAUUGGCGAGAGACCGAUAGCGAACAAGUACAGUGAUGGAAAGAUGAAAAGCACUUUGAAAAGAGAGUGAAACAGUACGUGAAAUUGUUGAAAGGGAAGGGCUUGCAAGCAGACACGGUUUUCGGACCGGGCCAGCAUCGGUUGUUGGGGGUGGAUAAGGUGUAGGGAAUGUAGCUUGCUUCGGCAAGUAUUAUAUCCCUGCGAGAUACACCCACUGGCGACCGAGGCCUGC